CGCAAGCCGAAGGCAGACACUUAACCAACUGAGCCAUCCAGGCAUCCGGAGGAGACUGGGGGCAGUGGGGAGAACGAUGCCUUCUGCAUCAAAGGAAGCGGAUCUCAGAGGUGCCAGCCCUGCGAGGAGGAGAUGAGAGAUCAGCCGGGUUGUCUGGAUCCAGUUUUUACCAAAAUGAUGGGCCAGAGAAAGAAGGAACCUUAGACAGUCUGACCUAGUUACAUUUGCAUUUUCCCAGGAAAAAUGACUGUAAAAUUCCUCAGAAACACUUGGAGUCGUUUUCUGGCGCAGAGAGGAAGAAGGCGGGAGAAACAAUGACACUGCGUUCAGGGCUGAAAAGAGAAGAAAGCUCAACUGGGGAGUGCGGGGCGAUGCUAGAAGAAAGCCAGGGUCCCACCUGGCUCCUCUGGGAGAAAAGGAUGAAAAAGGGAACUGGCUUGGCAAGGAGACCUGUCCCCAGCCAUCUGCACUUGCAGGAGAAGCUGGCCACCAAAGGCACUGCGCGUUCCCAGGCAGGAACGACGGGUGGCACUCGACAGCGGAGAAGAAAAAAAUCAUCAGAUACUGACACGUUCUUUAAGAUCAUGAAGUU
Long non-coding RNA from Mustela erminea (ermine), 592 nucleotides. RefSeq lists it as uncharacterized. Lineage: Eukaryota; Metazoa; Chordata; Mammalia; Carnivora; Mustelidae. The transcript is spliced from 3 exons. The record is from RefSeq and is a predicted model, not a curated record.